Molecule: non-coding RNA, 611 nt
Organism: Lactuca sativa (garden lettuce)
Lineage: Eukaryota; Viridiplantae; Streptophyta; Magnoliopsida; Asterales; Asteraceae
Source: RefSeq, a predicted model, not a curated record
AGAAGUAUAAUUAUGGCAAUGGGUAUCAUGACUGUUUAUAUCUGUACUUUUUUUAAUCUCUGUUAAUAGAAAUUCAUACAUUUAUAACUCUUUUCUGUUUUUUUAAUGCAGAUUGGGAUUAGGCAAACUGGAUGUUACUGGGAACCAAAGGAUGUUUGGUUCAACUGAUAGACUGAGAUCAGAUCUCAAAAAUGUGUUGCAGAAUUUACAAAUGGAACAUCAGGAGAUGCUAAAUAUACCAAAGGUUCAAAUGUGUAAGAAGAGAAUAUUGUACAAUUGAAAAUCAGAAUGACAUAAUAUAAAGUACGAUGGGAAAAAAGAAGAGAAACAGAAAAAGAAGGGGAUGAAACCAUUGCAGUAAACAAACAAAAUGAUGGGAUGAACUAAAUUUUGAGAUUCUGUUCUUGGUUCAAGUGUUGCUGCAUGAAUCAAUGAAUCACACCAGAAGUCAUUACCGAGUUGUGUCCCGUUGUCACUCCAUUUGUUCCCCGUCUUUCUUACUUUUGAAUAUGAUGUUUUUUAUUAUUUUAUGAUCUCCAAGAAUAUGCAUAAUGUACUCAUUUGGUUUAUAACUUAGAAGUUGUAAGUUUUGAUAAUGGUAUGAAUUUUGA